This 235-nucleotide ribosomal RNA is filed under the name uncultured bacterium. RNAcentral describes it as "partial 16S ribosomal RNA". It matches the Rfam family "Bacterial small subunit ribosomal RNA", at positions 1256 to 1500 of the family's 1533-position model. The record is from RNAcentral.
UGUGAAGCGGAGCAAAUCUCAAAAACCGGUCCCAGUUCGGAUUGUAGGCUGCAACUCGCCUACAUGAAGUCGGAGUUGCUAGUAAUCGCGGAUCAGAAUGCCGCGGUGAAUGCCGUUCCCGGGUCUUGUACACACCGCCCGUCACACCAUGGAAGUUGGGGGCGCCCGAAGUUGCCUAAGAAAUAAGGUACCUAAGGCGAAACCAAUGACUGGGGUGAAGUCGUAACAAGGUAUC